AACUUAAUCAUUUAUACCGUAGACAGCAGGAGCCGAUUGAGGCUUAAUAACCUGCCGAGGUAAUACGAUAGAUUUUAAUUGCUUGAACGAGCUAUUGUAUACUUCCUCCAUGUCUACCUUUGAUAUGGAGGUUUUUUAAUG
Molecule: small RNA, 141 nt
Filed under: uncultured Cytobacillus sp.
Lineage: Bacteria; Bacillati; Bacillota; Bacilli; Caryophanales; Bacillaceae
Description: Ribosomal protein L10 leader
Rfam family: Ribosomal protein L10 leader
About the family: This family is a putative r-protein leader autoregulatory structure found in B. subtilis and other low-GC Gram-positive bacteria.
Source: RNAcentral